Molecule: ribosomal RNA, 2925 nt
Filed under: Escherichia coli
Lineage: Bacteria; Pseudomonadati; Pseudomonadota; Gammaproteobacteria; Enterobacterales; Enterobacteriaceae
Description: 23S ribosomal RNA
Rfam family: Bacterial large subunit ribosomal RNA
Source: RNAcentral
GGGUUGUGAGGUUAAGCGACUAAGCGUACACGGUGGAUGCCCUGGCAGUCAGAGGCGAUGAAGGACGUGCUAAUCUGCGAUAAGCGUCGGUAAGGUGAUAUGAACCGUUAUAACCGGCGAUUUCCGAAUGGGGAAACCCAGUGUGUUUCGACACACUAUCAUUAACUGAAUCCAUAGGUUAAUGAGGCGAACCGGGGGAACUGAAACAUCUAAGUACCCCGAGGAAAAGAAAUCAACCGAGAUUCCCCCAGUAGCGGCGAGCGAACGGGGAGCAGCCCAGAGCCUGAAUCAGUGUGUGUGUUAGUGGAAGCGUCUGGAAAGGCGCGCGAUACAGGGUGACAGCCCCGUACACAAAAAUGCACAUGCUGUGAGCUCGAUGAGUAGGGCGGGACACGUGGUAUCCUGUCUGAAUAUGGGGGGACCAUCCUCCAAGGCUAAAUACUCCUGACUGACCGAUAGUGAACCAGUACCGUGAGGGAAAGGCGAAAAGAACCCCGGCGAGGGGAGUGAAAAAGAACCUGAAACCGUGUACGUACAAGCAGUGGGAGCACGCUUAGGCGUGUGACUGCGUACCUUUUGUAUAAUGGGUCAGCGACUUAUAUUCUGUAGCAAGGUUAACCGAAUAGGGGAGCCGAAGGGAAACCGAGUCUUAACUGGGCGUUAAGUUGCAGGGUAUAGACCCGAAACCCGGUGAUCUAGCCAUGGGCAGGUUGAAGGUUGGGUAACACUAACUGGAGGACCGAACCGACUAAUGUUGAAAAAUUAGCGGAUGACUUGUGGCUGGGGGUGAAAGGCCAAUCAAACCGGGAGAUAGCUGGUUCUCCCCGAAAGCUAUUUAGGUAGCGCCUCGUGAAUUCAUCUCCGGGGGUAGAGCACUGUUUCGGCAAGGGGGUCAUCCCGACUUACCAACCCGAUGCAAACUGCGAAUACCGGAGAAUGUUAUCACGGGAGACACACGGCGGGUGCUAACGUCCGUCGUGAAGAGGGAAACAACCCAGACCGCCAGCUAAGGUCCCAAAGUCAUGGUUAAGUGGGAAACGAUGUGGGAAGGCCCAGACAGCCAGGAUGUUGGCUUAGAAGCAGCCAUCAUUUAAAGAAAGCGUAAUAGCUCACUGGUCGAGUCGGCCUGCGCGGAAGAUGUAACGGGGCUAAACCAUGCACCGAAGCUGCGGCAGCGACGCUUAUGCGUUGUUGGGUAGGGGAGCGUUCUGUAAGCCUGUGAAGGUGUACUGUGAGGUAUGCUGGAGGUAUCAGAAGUGCGAAUGCUGACAUAAGUAACGAUAAAGCGGGUGAAAAGCCCGCUCGCCGGAAGACCAAGGGUUCCUGUCCAACGUUAAUCGGGGCAGGGUGAGUCGACCCCUAAGGCGAGGCCGAAAGGCGUAGUCGAUGGGAAACAGGUUAAUAUUCCUGUACUUGGUGUUACUGCGAAGGGGGGACGGAGAAGGCUAUGUUGGCCGGGCGACGGUUGUCCCGGUUUAAGCGUGUAGGCUGGUUUUCCAGGCAAAUCCGGAAAAUCAAGGCUGAGGCGUGAUGACGAGGCACUACGGUGCUGAAGCAACAAAUGCCCUGCUUCCAGGAAAAGCCUCUAAGCAUCAGGUAACAUCAAAUCGUACCCCAAACCGACACAGGUGGUCAGGUAGAGAAUACCAAGGCGCUUGAGAGAACUCGGGUGAAGGAACUAGGCAAAAUGGUGCCGUAACUUCGGGAGAAGGCACGCUGAUAUGUAGGUGAAGUCCCUCGCGGAUGGAGCUGAAAUCAGUCGAAGAUACCAGCUGGCUGCAACUGUUUAUUAAAAACACAGCACUGUGCAAACACGAAAGUGGACGUAUACGGUGUGACGCCUGCCCGGUGCCGGAAGGUUAAUUGAUGGGGUUAGCGCAAGCGAAGCUCUUGAUCGAAGCCCCGGUAAACGGCGGCCGUAACUAUAACGGUCCUAAGGUAGCGAAAUUCCUUGUCGGGUAAGUUCCGACCUGCACGAAUGGCGUAAUGAUGGCCAGGCUGUCUCCACCCGAGACUCAGUGAAAUUGAACUCGCUGUGAAGAUGCAGUGUACCCGCGGCAAGACGGAAAGACCCCGUGAACCUUUACUAUAGCUUGACACUGAACAUUGAGCCUUGAUGUGUAGGAUAGGUGGGAGGCUUUGAAGUGUGGACGCCAGUCUGCAUGGAGCCGACCUUGAAAUACCACCCUUUAAUGUUUGAUGUUCUAACGUUGACCCGUAAUCCGGGUUGCGGACAGUGUCUGGUGGGUAGUUUGACUGGGGCGGUCUCCUCCUAAAGAGUAACGGAGGAGCACGAAGGUUGGCUAAUCCUGGUCGGACAUCAGGAGGUUAGUGCAAUGGCAUAAGCCAGCUUGACUGCGAGCGUGACGGCGCGAGCAGGUGCGAAAGCAGGUCAUAGUGAUCCGGUGGUUCUGAAUGGAAGGGCCAUCGCUCAACGGAUAAAAGGUACUCCGGGGAUAACAGGCUGAUACCGCCCAAGAGUUCAUAUCGACGGCGGUGUUUGGCACCUCGAUGUCGGCUCAUCACAUCCUGGGGCUGAAGUAGGUCCCAAGGGUAUGGCUGUUCGCCAUUUAAAGUGGUACGCGAGCUGGGUUUAGAACGUCGUGAGACAGUUCGGUCCCUAUCUGCCGUGGGCGCUGGAGAACUGAGGGGGGCUGCUCCUAGUACGAGAGGACCGGAGUGGACGCAUCACUGGUGUUCGGGUUGUCAUGCCAAUGGCACUGCCCGGUAGCUAAAUGCGGAAGAGAUAAGUGCUGAAAGCAUCUAAGCACGAAACUUGCCCCGAGAUGAGUUCUCCCUGACUCCUUGAGAGUCCUGAAGGAACGUUGAAGACGACGACGUUGAUAGGCCGGGUGUGUAAGCGCAGCGAUGCGUUGAGCUAACCGGUACUAAUGAACCGUGAGGCUUAACCUUACAACGCCGAAG